This 445-nucleotide ribosomal RNA is filed under the name uncultured bacterium. RNAcentral describes it as "partial 16S ribosomal RNA". It matches the Rfam family "Bacterial small subunit ribosomal RNA", at positions 329 to 792 of the family's 1533-position model. The record is from RNAcentral.
GGCCAGACUCCUACGGGAGGCAGCAGUGGGGAAUAUUGCGCAAUGGGGGAAACCCUGACGCAGCAACGCCGCGUGCGGGAUGAAGGCUUUCGGGUUGUAAACCGCUUUCAGCAGGGAAGAUAAUGACGGUACCUGCAGAAGAAGCCCCGGCUAACUACGUGCCAGCAGCCGCGGUAAUACGUAGGGGGCAAGCGUUAUCCGGAUUCAUUGGGCGUAAAGCGCGCGCAGGCGGGCCGCUAAGCGGGACCUCUAAUCUUGGGGCUCAACCUCAAGCCGGGUCCCGAACUGGCAGCCUCGAGUGCGGUAGGGGUAAGCGGAAUUCCCGGUGUAGCGGUGGAAUGCGCAGAUAUCGGGAAGAACACCGAUGGCGAAGGCAGCUUACUGGGCCGACACUGACGCUGAGGCGCGAAAGCUAGGGGAGCGAACAGGAUUAGAUACCCCAGUA